CCGUCCGCUCGCUCUCUCGCUUCUGCCUUCCUUGCAGUGCACGGCCACCCGCACUCCUCCUCCUCUUCUUCUUCCUCGGUCCCUGCCGCGCGUGCGCCUCUCGCUCGCUCGCUCUCUCCCCAAGCUCGUUUCAUUCGCCCAUGUCCUCGCCCUCGCCGCCGGUCAUCCCCGGGAGCAGGAGCAGCCGAGCGUCGCCGCCGAUCACCGCUUCACCAGGUCAGUCAGUUCAUCUGCUAGCUUGUUGCUGUUGUUUCCGUGCCAUGUCGUGUCCUGUCUGUCUGUUGCAACAGGUCAGGUCAGGUCCGGCGCCGUUGUGAGGGACGGGACGAUUAAUUUGGGUCCUCGGCCAAUCGCUCUUCCGCAUCUUGCCAUCAUUCAGUUAGUUCAGACUCGAGCUACAUCUUGGCAGAGCGGCUGGAAAUGACAAUUUGUUCAGACUGGAGGAGCAGCGGCUUUCUUUCCUGUGCAUCACAAGUUCAGAACACACGCCCUGGCUUCCUUCCUUCAGCUUUCGACGUGCGCCACAUCAGUCAGAGACGGACAAAACAAGCAGCAUCCAUCAAUCCAUGUGCACUUUGGCUGGCCUCCAUUUACACUCUCGCGGCGGCGGAGCACUGAGCAGUGACCUAAGGGCGCAUUUGAGAGAGAUGAAGCAAGCAGCAGGAUGCAAAGACAAGUCUGUCGUCUCGGCGCAACAGUCCAGCUCGUACGGCUUUCGCUUGCUGAGGUAAGAAAAAUAUUCAUCUACCCCAGAAGGGUGCAGCAAAGUGAAGAUCGAGCCGAUUUAUUCAAAGGAAUGAUCACAGCACAACAAUGGAGUACACAAGAACGGCGACAGCACCCACGCAACGCAACAUGCGGCCGUGUACAUAUUGGUCACAGCUUAAUUACACUCAUCACACAAAGGUACAUCCGAUCCAUUUGCUCUCUCCGAGCUAAUACAAUGUAUGGCAGCACAUCUCAAUCACCACGCCCCGUGACGCUUCUGCCCAGGUGCGCAACGCAGGUACAGCUCCUCUGUUCUUCAGUCUCGAAACGUUGUUUCUGCCGAGAGCAGAGGGCCUUUCUCAAGGGAGGAGGGAAAAUAGGUUCGAUUCUUGCGGAGAUGCUACUCUAA
RNAcentral lists this ribosomal RNA (1117 nucleotides) under Triticum aestivum (bread wheat). Its description in RNAcentral is "partial small subunit ribosomal RNA". The record is from RNAcentral. Lineage: Eukaryota; Viridiplantae; Streptophyta; Magnoliopsida; Poales; Poaceae.